Setaria italica (foxtail millet) is the source of this 86-nucleotide microRNA precursor. It matches the Rfam family "mir-395 microRNA precursor family". Rfam says of the family: mir-395 was identified in both Arabidopsis thaliana and Oryza sativa computationally and was later experimentally verified. mir-395 is thought to target mRNAs coding for ATP sulphurylases. Lineage: Eukaryota; Viridiplantae; Streptophyta; Magnoliopsida; Poales; Poaceae. The record is from Rfam.
GUGUUACUGGGAGUUCCCUAAAAGCACUUCGCGAGGAAUUGACUUAAGAGCUCUUGUGAAGUGUUUGGGGGAACUCUUGGUGUCAC